GACGAACGCUGGCGGCGUGCUUAACACAUGCAAGUCGAACGGAAAGGCCCUGCUUUUGUGGGGUGCUCGAGUGGCGAACGGGUGAGUAACACGUGAGUAACCUGCCCUUGUCUUUGGGAUAACUUCAGGAAACUGGGGCUAAUACCGGAUAGGAGCUCCUGAUGCAUGGUGGGGGUUGGAAAGUUUCGGCGGUUGGGGCUGGACUCGCGGCUUAUCAGCUUGUUGGUGGGGUAGUGGCUUACCAAGGCUUUGACGGGUAGCCGGCCUGAGAGGGUGACCGGCCACAUUGGGACUGAGGUACGGCCCAGACUCCUACGGGAGGCAGCAGUGGGGAAUAUUGCACAAUGGGCGGAAGCCUGAUGCAGCAACGCCGCGUGCGGGAUGACGGCCUUCGGGUUGUAAACCGCUUUCGCCUGUGACGAAGCGUGAGUGACGGUAAUGGGUAAAGAAGCACCGGCUAACUACGUG
Molecule: ribosomal RNA, 468 nt
Filed under: uncultured bacterium
Lineage: Bacteria
Description: partial 16S ribosomal RNA
Rfam family: Bacterial small subunit ribosomal RNA
Source: RNAcentral